Molecule: transfer RNA, 66 nt
Filed under: Candidatus Gottesmanbacteria bacterium RIFCSPHIGHO2_02_FULL_39_11
Lineage: Bacteria; Candidatus Gottesmaniibacteriota
Description: tRNA-Arg
Source: RNAcentral
CCCCCUACGCGGAUAGAGUACGGCCCUCCGAAGGCUGUGGUGUGGGUUCAAUUCCCGCCAGGGGUA